UACGGGGGGGGCAAGCGUUGUUCGGAAUUACUGGGCGUAAAGGGCUCGUAGGUGGCCAACUAAGUCAGACGUGAAAUCCCUCGGCUUAACCGGGGAACUGCGUCUGAUACUGGAUGGCUUGAGUUUGGGAGAGGGAUGCGGAAUUCCAGGUGUAGCGGUGAAAUGCGCAGAUAUCGGGAGGAACACCAAUGGCGAAGGCAGCUCGCUGGGACGUUACUGACGCUGAGACGCGAAAGCGUGGGGAGCGAACAGG
Molecule: ribosomal RNA, 253 nt
Filed under: uncultured bacterium
Lineage: Bacteria
Description: partial 16S ribosomal RNA
Rfam family: Bacterial small subunit ribosomal RNA
Source: RNAcentral